RNAcentral lists this ribosomal RNA (464 nucleotides) under uncultured bacterium. RNAcentral's name for it is "partial 16S ribosomal RNA". It matches the Rfam family "Bacterial small subunit ribosomal RNA", at positions 28 to 507 of the family's 1533-position model. The record is from RNAcentral.
GACGAACGCUGGCGGCGUGCUUAACACAUGCAAGUCGAACGGAAAGGCCCUGCUUGCCGGGUACUCGAGUGGCGAACGGGUGAGUAACACGUGGUUAAUUUGCCCUCCCCUUGGGGUUAGCCUUGGGAAACUGGUUCUAUUACGGGUAAGAGGCAAUCUUUGUUGUGGUGUUUGGAAGUUUUUUUGGUGUAGGAUGAGCUCGCGGCCUAUCAGCUUGUUGGUGGGGUAAUGGCCUACCAAGGCGGCGACGGGUAGCCGGCCUGAGAGGGUGUACGGCCACAUUGGGACUGAGAUACGGCCCAGACUCCUACGGGAGGCAGCAGUGGGGAAUAUUGCACAAUGGGCGCAAGCCUGAUGCAGCGACGCCGCGUGGGGGAUGAAGGCCUUCGGGUUGUAAACUCCUUUCGCUAGGGACGAAGCUUUUUGUGACGGUACCUAGAUAAGAAGCACCGGCUAACUACGUG